Molecule: ribosomal RNA, 487 nt
Filed under: uncultured bacterium
Lineage: Bacteria
Description: partial 16S ribosomal RNA
Rfam family: Bacterial small subunit ribosomal RNA
Source: RNAcentral
ACUCAAAUGAAUUGACGGGGGCUCGCACAAGCGGUGGAUCAUGUGGCUUAAUUCGUCGGUAAACGAAAAACCUUACCAGGGUUAGAAAUCCAAUCGAAUACUAGUGGAAACAUUAGUAGUCCUCACGGACGGUUGGACAGGUGAUGCACGGUCGUCGUCAGUUCGUGGCUUGAGUUGUUCCCUUCAGUGGGGAAACGAACGCAACCCUCGUUGCCUGUUACAAGUGUCAGGCGAGACUGCUCCCUCACGGGAGAGGAAGGUGAGGAUGACGCCAGAUCAGCAUGUCCCUCUGAUACCCUGGGCUGCACACGUGAUACAAUGCUAUCGACAACAGGACGCAAUGUCGUAAGACGGAGCAAACCCUUAUAAACGAUAGCCCAAUUCGGAUUGAGGUCUGCAACUCGACCUCAUGAAGUCGGAAUCGCUAGUAAUCGCAGGUCAGCACACUGCGGUGAAUACGUUCUCGAGCCUUGUACACACCGCCCGU